GGUUAUCCCUCUGAACCACUUCUUCUUCUUCAUGUGACCACUUCUUCUUCUUGCAAAGCUUCUAAAAUAAUCUUGGAAAAUCAUUUUUGGAUCUAAACUCAUCAUCAUCAAUCCAUCACAAAAAUCAACUCAGUUUCAGAUCUAAAUAUAAACCCAUUUUUAUGAACAUGAACACACCAUUCUUAAACCUUAGAAUUUGUGAUUUUCCCAAAUACUUGACUGCCAAUUCCAGAUUCGAAUCGUCACUUGCAUUCACAAGCCAUGGACUUUCGUGA
RNAcentral lists this long non-coding RNA (275 nucleotides) under Medicago truncatula (barrel medic). Its description in RNAcentral is "lncRNA gene43144". Lineage: Eukaryota; Viridiplantae; Streptophyta; Magnoliopsida; Fabales; Fabaceae. The record is from RNAcentral.